This 230-nucleotide ribosomal RNA is filed under the name uncultured bacterium. Its description in RNAcentral is "partial 16S ribosomal RNA". It matches the Rfam family "Bacterial small subunit ribosomal RNA", at positions 794 to 1025 of the family's 1533-position model. The record is from RNAcentral.
UCCACGCCGUAAACGAUGAUCACUAGUUGUUGGCGAUAAAAUGUCAGUGACUGAGCGAAAGCAUUAAGUGAUCCACCUGGGGAGUACGUUCGCAAGAAUGAAACUCAAAGGAAUUGACGGGGGCCCGCACAAGCGGAGGAACAUGUGGUUUAAUUCGAUGAUACGCGAGGAACCUUACCCGGGCUUAAAUGCAGACUGACAGGGUUGGGAAACCGUACUUUUCUUCGGAC